AUGGCAGACAAGGCCUCGGGUUCAAAGACAGUGGACUUGGAGGAUGUGGCAGAGAUGAUGGAGAGGCUGGGUCUCCUUGAAGACGAUCUGGAUGAUGUAGUUUUUGAGGAACAAGAAGCACCCCCGCCGGAGUCGAUCAGAUGGAUGGCGUUGGCUCGGGUUCACACGGAGAAGGGUUACAGCCAGUAUUGGUUCUUCAAGACAAUGAGGGCGGCAUGGGAUCUGGCCCAAGAGGUAAAGAUUAGACCACUGGAAGAUAAUCUAUACACCUUGCAAUUCUCGUGUUUAGGCGAUUGGGAGAGAGUCAUGCAAGAAGGGCCAUGGAAUUAUAAGGGUUUUGCGGUGAUCAUUACACCUUAUGACGGGUUCACAAAACCGUCUCUAAUCAAGCUUGAUACUCUUGAGAUCUGGGCCCAGAUUCAUGAUCUUCCUGAUGGAUUCUUCCCCAUGUUGAGGGCCUUGGCUGGGAAGAUUGGUGAAGUUGUUUUUGUGGAACCUAAGUCUCAUGAUUUUGAGGGAAAUUUCUAUAGGGUUCGGGUCAAGAUUGAUGUUCACAAGCCUCUAAAGAAGGCUACGUCAGUUGUUAAGGAGAACAAGAGACAAAUCUUUCUGGUGAAGUACGAACGGCUCCCGGACUGGUGUGCUGUAUGUGGUCACCUUGGUCAUCAAUUCAAGGAGCAUGGUGAUGGAGUUCACCCCCCGAAGGCCUUAGUUUUUAAAGAAUUGAGAGCAAGCUGGUUCCGGGGUGCAGGACGGGGUCCAGGAGAAGGACGCGUCCGAAGAGGCGGCGUUGGACGAGGAGCAUCAAGGGGAGGAGCAGGUUUCAACGUUGGACGGGGCAUGUCCCAGCAGCCCAGCCAACACUCAGGAAGGGAGGACGUGGAUGCUUGCAUGGUCGACGCUGAAUCGGCCAGGAAGAGAUCUUCAGAGACAGGCCAAGCAAAUGAGAAAAACGUGCCUAAGGGAGUGAUGGCCAACAAGCUCAUGCUUCCAGCACCUCCUACAGUUCCUCCAAGCCCGACUUCACGACAGGAUCAGAAGAGAGCCAAGGUAGCCCUUACUGACAAGGGAGUGCCCAAGAAAAACCCCAGUGACAAGACAAAUGAUGCGCCCAUCGCAGAGACCCAGAGUGGCCUCCGCGGGGCACAAUGA
RNAcentral lists this ribosomal RNA (1152 nucleotides) under Triticum aestivum (bread wheat). RNAcentral's name for it is "partial small subunit ribosomal RNA". The record is from RNAcentral. Lineage: Eukaryota; Viridiplantae; Streptophyta; Magnoliopsida; Poales; Poaceae.